This 253-nucleotide ribosomal RNA is filed under the name uncultured bacterium. RNAcentral's name for it is "partial 16S ribosomal RNA". It matches the Rfam family "Bacterial small subunit ribosomal RNA", at positions 524 to 776 of the family's 1533-position model. The record is from RNAcentral.
UACAGAGGAUGCAAGCGUUAUCCGGAAUGAUUGGGCGUAAAGAGCUCGUAGGCGGCUUGUCGCGUCUGCCGUGAAAGUCCGGGGCUCAACUCCGGAUCUGCGGUGGGUACGGGCAGACUAGAGUGCAGUAGGGGAGACUGGAAUUCCUGGUGUAGCGGUGAAAUGCGCAGAUAUCAGGAGGAACACCGAUGGCGAAGGCAGGUUGCUGGGCUGUAACUGACGCUGAUGAGCGAAAGCAUGGGGAGCGAACAGG